GAUGAACGCUGGCGGCGUGCCUAAUACAUGCAAGUCGAGCGAACAGACGAGGAGCUUGCUCCUCUGACGUUAGCGGCGGACGGGUGAGUAACACGUGGAUAACCUACCUAUAAGACUGGGAUAACUUCGGGAAACCGGAGCUAAUACCGGAUAAUAUAUUGAACCGCAUGGUUCAAUAGUGAAAGACGGUUUUGAUGGCACUUAUAGAUGGAUCCGCGCCGCAUUAGCUAGUUGGUAAGGUAACGGCUUACCAAGGCAACGAUGCGUAGCCGACCUGAGAGGGUGAUCGGCCACACUGGAACUGAGACACGGUCCAGACUCCUACGGGAGGCAGCAGUAGGGAAUCUUCCGCAAUGGGCGAAAGCCUGACGGAGCAACGCCGCGUGAGUGAUGAAGGUCUUCGGAUCGUAAAACUCUGUUAUUAGGGAAGAACAAAUGUGUAAGUAACUAUGCACGUCUUGACGGUACCUAAUCAGAAAGCCACGGCUUACUACGUG
RNAcentral lists this ribosomal RNA (497 nucleotides) under uncultured bacterium. Its description in RNAcentral is "partial 16S ribosomal RNA". It matches the Rfam family "Bacterial small subunit ribosomal RNA", at positions 28 to 507 of the family's 1533-position model. The record is from RNAcentral.